This is a long non-coding RNA of Lathyrus oleraceus (garden pea), 1533 nucleotides long. RefSeq lists it as uncharacterized. The record is from RefSeq and is a predicted model, not a curated record. The transcript is spliced from 2 exons. Lineage: Eukaryota; Viridiplantae; Streptophyta; Magnoliopsida; Fabales; Fabaceae.
UCCUCACGAAGCCAUUAAAAUUAGGGUUUGGCAAAGAUUAAAAAUGUGUAUCUGGCCACAUGUAGAACAUUUAGUACACUACCAUUCUAUACAGCUAUGUCCAACCAAUAAGAAUAAAAAGAAAACAAAUUAAACCACCAAUUGCAUAACCAAUAUAUUUUUCAACCAACACAUACACUCAUUCAUUUCUCUAUAUAUUUGUGCCCUCUACAGUUUUCAUUCUAAUUCAUCCUUUCUUCUCUCUCUUUUCUCACUUUUUUUUCUCUCCUUUUCUUUCCUCUCAAAGUUAGAUCUCAGGAGUUUUUCUAUUUAUUCAGAUUUUACAUGAUCUAUUUCAACCAUACAUCCUUAAUAUAUAUCUUUAGUUUUCCAUAAAAAAAGUUUCUUAAAUUCUUAGAGCAACCUAGGUUUUAUCCUAUACCUUUGAUUAUUUUUUAUUUUAAAAUUUGAAGUCUCUUGAUUAAGGGGAAAAGGCUUUGAAAGUAUGGUUAACCUACUUUUGAAUAAGAUUUGUUUAGGUUAUCUUUGAUCUUUGAAGGUAAAGAAAGCAUGCUUUUGUUGUUGUUGUUUAUGAAGAAGUUGAUCCAAUUAAUUUUAUAUUUGUUCACUUUAUUGAUAAAAAAUUGAAAUUUUGUUUUGUUUUGUUGUUGAGUUGAAGUAUGAACUGAGUUCAAAUGAGUAUAGAUUCCUUUCAAAGUUCCUCGUGUGUUAAACUCAUUCUAACCACUUAUAUCUUGCCACGUCAUCUUCUCCUCGUGGCCUUGUCCACAUGUAUAUAAAAAAAUAUCUCAAUUUUAUGUGAACCCUUCUUUCUUUUCUAUUCUAUUCUUUCCUUUUCUUUCAUUUUUAUCUUUGGAGAUUGGUCUUUAUAUAUAUAGUAACCUAUGAAACUUUUUUAUAUGGUGGAGCUAGAGGUUGAAGAUUGAUUGAUGAUGAUCAUAGUCGUUGUUUGCAGAUGUGGCAUCAUCAAGAUUCACAUGUGAAUGAUGAUGGAAAACCUAUAAUCUCCAUUGAUGGUUUGAAAUGAGAAUCUUGAUGAUGCUGCAUCAGCCAUAAACGACUUUAUAAGAAGAUCCUGAACAAAAAUAUUCACAAGACUCUUAUGAUUUCUUUCAGGGAUCAUUCAUAAAAAUCAUUAUUUUGUUUGAGAUUCUACUGACACCUACACACUUUUAUUUGGGAUCUCUGUGUCUCUGCUUAGCUUCAGGUGAUGGCAUUUCCUAAUCAUUUUUUUUAAUAUGGAAACUAGAAAAAAAUUCUAAUAACUGGUAUUAGAGUAAAUGUUCUCAUUUAGAGGAAGAAAGAGAGGCAAGAGUUGCAAUCAAUAGAAGCAAUGUCAUCUUAUUUGUGUCAUUUAUUUUAAGAGAAGCAAUAGUUAAUUUGAUUUUUUUUCACCACUCUAAUAUUCUUGGCAUAAUGAAACUUUUAUUGUGAUAUGGAAUGAGAGAGUUCGUAAUUUUUUUUAUGUAAACGUUAUAUGGGAUUGAGAUUAGUGUUUUAUAAAUAUUAUAUAAUUUAGAUUUUAUUUUGACA